GGAGCUGUGGCUUAGUGGGGGAGCACUUGCCUAGCAUGUAUGAGGCACUGGGUUUGAUUCUCAGCACUCCA
This 71-nucleotide transfer RNA is filed under the name Marmota marmota marmota (Alpine marmot). It matches the Rfam family "tRNA". From Rfam's summary of the family: Transfer RNA (tRNA) molecules are approximately 80 nucleotides in length. Their secondary structure includes four short double-helical elements and three loops (D, anti-codon, and T loops). Lineage: Eukaryota; Metazoa; Chordata; Mammalia; Rodentia; Sciuridae. The record is from Rfam by way of RNAcentral. RNAcentral also lists the same sequence under 2 other names.